AAAAAAUACUAGCGAUUGCCAGUAUUGUUAAUUGUUCCGUGUGAUUAAUGCAUUUGAAUAGGUUUCAAUACAUCAUUGCAGUGGUCCUGAAAACUGAAACUUUGAGAUACUGAUUUAUCUUCGUUCAGUGUAAUAUGACAUGCAACUUUGGUAUACAUUUUGUUAUCUGAAUUGCUACUUCGCUAUACUUCUAGAACACAACAGUCAAUGUUUGACCAUACAGACCUGCAUAAUGGACAGGUUUUCUUACGUUUUAACCACUCUUUCAUACAAUGAUUAUGAAAUUUGUGGUUGCAAUGGUAACUCAUGCACAUAAGAUCAUAUAGUUUCAUAAUGUUCAAGCAUAUUUGACAGCUCUCAGCUGUAAGGUCGUG
RNAcentral lists this long non-coding RNA (374 nucleotides) under Mytilus galloprovincialis (Mediterranean mussel). Lineage: Eukaryota; Metazoa; Mollusca; Bivalvia; Mytilida; Mytilidae. The record is from RNAcentral.